GGGGGCGACAUGGUUUCGACGUGGGUAGCGAAACCGGAGGUGCAUGCCGAGGUGCGGGAUCCUCGUAAAACAUCUUGCAAACCAAGUUAGUUGCCAACGACGACAACUACGCUCUAGCCGCUUAAGGCUAGCCUCUGACCGCCGUGUGCCUGUGCGCUGCGGGUUUCAGGGGUCACCACUACACGGGAUCGCCGCAAAGCCUGCCCCAGGUGUAGCCGCUAAAACCCAUAGGGGAUCGCCGCUUCGUAGCCCUGUACGCCGGGACGCGGGCGGUUAAAACUCAAUGGCGCACUAAGCAUGUAGAGCCGAUGGCGGAGUACUUGCGGACGCGGGUUCGAUUCCCGCCGCCUCCACCA
This 356-nucleotide transfer-messenger RNA is filed under the name Gammaproteobacteria (g-proteobacteria). RNAcentral describes it as "WLWT01 sp012103455 Standard tmRNA". It matches the Rfam family "transfer-messenger RNA". From Rfam's summary of the family: Bacterial tmRNA, also known as 10Sa RNA or SsrA, is named for its dual tRNA and mRNA-like properties. Its role is to liberate the mRNA from a stalled ribosome. RNAcentral also lists the same sequence under 1 other name. The record is from RNAcentral. Lineage: Bacteria; Pseudomonadati; Pseudomonadota.